AUGCUCAUUUCGGCAGCACAUAUACUAAAAUUGGAACCAUACAGAGAAGAUUAGCACGACCCCUGUGCAAGGAUGACAUGCAAAUUCAUGAAGCAUUCCAUAUUUUU
Molecule: small nuclear RNA, 107 nt
Organism: Loxodonta africana (African savanna elephant)
Lineage: Eukaryota; Metazoa; Chordata; Mammalia; Proboscidea; Elephantidae
Source: Ensembl